This is a long non-coding RNA of Panthera uncia (snow leopard), 1935 nucleotides long. RefSeq lists it as uncharacterized. The transcript has 3 exons. Lineage: Eukaryota; Metazoa; Chordata; Mammalia; Carnivora; Felidae. The record is from RefSeq and is a predicted model, not a curated record.
CCGACCCGGGGCCGCCGCGCAAGCGCCUCGCAACUGUGCCCUCGUCUGGGCUCCCGGCAGGACCCCAGCAGGCUGGCUCCCGGCUCGGGUACCACGCUGGCCCUCCACCCACCUGAGCUUCCUGGUGGGCUUCGGGGAACCUCCUCUAACUCCUUUGGGGCUGGAGGCGGGGUGUUGGUGGCAAAAUGCGCGAAGUGAGGUGCCAAGGUUUUGCCACCGAAGAUUGAAAAGCAGUGCUGCGCGCGCGGAGAUCCUUCCUGUCGGCCCGAGAGGAAGAGAAAGAGGUGACGUUGUCACUGGCUGAAAGGAACUGCACGUGGCUGCGGACAGACCUUGAAUCCACAGCCAUUGGCAUGGACCCAUAAACCCAAUCUGGGCAAUCAUGAUACUCCAUGAUUGUUUGGCAACAGUAAUUGGCUCAAAAGGUGACCGUGUGAUCCAAGCAGGGCCAAACUAUGUAACUUCUCUAGAACUGAAGUUUGGACAUUAGAAGAAAGAAGUUUUGUCCACUGCAGCCGCUAAAUAGAGAGACUGUCGAUUUGGGGCUACUGGUGGUCAUCUUUUCCACCACGUGGAGAGUCUGUGUACAGAGUGAAGUUUGUGUAGUAAAGGACUAACCUUACCCAAAGAAAGAUGUGGCCUUUGAAACCCUUUGCUCCUGGGAGAAGCUCUUUAAACCCCUGGCAAGUCCUACCUGACAAGAGUGUGUCUGUGUACCCUGGGGACUUGGGCCUCACCAGGUGGCCUAACAAUGUGAUGAUAAGAUGGAAACUGGGACACAGAGAGGGAGAAGACCAUGGGAAGGUGGAGGCAGAGAUUAGAGUGAUGCGUCUGCAAGCCAGAAAACCCAAGGAUUGUCAGCAGUGUCCAGCAGCUAGGGAGAGGCAAGGGAGGGUCCCGGCCUAGAGUUUUCAGGGAGAGCCUGGCCCGACCAACAUCUCCAUCUUGGACUUCUAGCUUCCACAACUGUGAGGCAAUAUACCUCAUUUUUUAAGGUUCCCUGGGUGGUUUUAUGGAGGUGCUCCUUACAAUCACAACAAGAACUGCAGGGUUGGACUAGUUACCACAUAAGCUCCAGUUAGAAUGUGUCUGUGAACCAUCAAGCAAGUGGCCCUGGGCCCAGUGAGUGCCCCAGGCACGCCUAGUCGAUAGCGGCACUAUCGAUAACAGGCUUUGACCAUCACAAAGCAGACUGAAAGGAAAAGGCCUCACUGAGGACGUAAUGUUUCAGCCCAUAUCUGAAGGAGGUGAGGGAGAGAGUGUGAAGUGUCUGAAAAACGAGCAUUCCUGGUGGAAGCACUUUCUAGAGUCUGGUCAGACAGUUCUCUUAGUUUUUCCAUAAACACGUACGGUCUUCAGUUAUUUCAGGGAACACAUUCCAGAAAAUAACACACUUAGGUUCUGUUGCCCAACGUGCGGAGCAGCUAUCACAAGACCCUGGACGAUGCGCGUUCGCUUUUUAACCUUCCAUUCACUCCUCAUCCCCAUGCAAUCUGGCUUCUGGACAUGUGAUGUUGCAACGUUUAAGACCGAAGCAACUAAGUAAAACCAGCUGUCUUCUAUUGAGCCCGACAUGGGGAGACGCGGAAAAAUCCAAAGAUUUUUCUCACCGAGAGAGAGACGUCUGAGUAAAGACCAAAGAGGUGAGAGAAACUGAAAAGAGAGUAAAACAGGAUUUAUGGAUUGCUGCACACUGCAUAUUCGUAUGUGUUAAAAAUGCAAUUAAAAGUAAUUCUUUAGGGGCACCUGGGUGGCGCAGGUGGUUAAACAUCUGACUCUUGGUUUUGACUCAGGUCAUUAUCUCACCAUUUGUGAGUUUGAGCCCCAUGACGGGCUCCGCACUGACAGCGCAGGGCCUGCUUGGGAUUCUUUCUUUGCCUCUCCCUCUGCCCCUCCCCUGCUCACUUGGACUCUCUCUUCUCUCUCUCUCUCACA